RNAcentral lists this ribosomal RNA (506 nucleotides) under Pseudolycoriella cavatica. RNAcentral describes it as "partial large subunit ribosomal RNA". Lineage: Eukaryota; Metazoa; Arthropoda; Insecta; Diptera; Sciaridae. The record is from RNAcentral.
UUCUUUUUGAAUUUAAUUUAAAGUAUAACCUGCCCAUUGAAAAUUUUAAAAGGCUGCGGUAUUUUGACCGUACAAAGGUAGCAUAAUCAUUAGUUUUUUAAUUGAAAACUUGUAUGAAUGGUUGAAUGAGAAAUUUACUUUUUUAAUUAAAAAAUUGAAUUUAACAUUUUAGUUAAAAGGCUAAAAUAAAUUUAAAAGACGAGAAGACCCUAUAGAGUUUUAUAAUUUAAAUUUAAUUUGAAUAAAGUUUAUUUUAUAAAUUAUUUAAUUAAAUUAUUUUAUUGGGGUGAUAAUAAAAUUUAAAUAACUUUUAUUUUUUUUUACAUUAAUAUAUGAAAAUUUGAUCCAUUAUUUAUGAUUAAAAAUUUAAAUUACCUUAGGGAUAACAGCGUAAUUUUUUUUUUAAGUUCAUAUUAAUAAAAAAUUUUGCGACCUCGAUGUUGGAUUAAGAUUUAAUUUUAGGUGCAGAAGUUUAAAAUUAAAGUCUGUUCGACUUUUUAAUUCUU